This 380-nucleotide ribosomal RNA is filed under the name uncultured Syndiniales. RNAcentral's name for it is "SSU rRNA". It matches the Rfam family "Eukaryotic small subunit ribosomal RNA", at positions 612 to 997 of the family's 1831-position model. Lineage: Eukaryota; Dinophyceae; Syndiniales. The record is from RNAcentral.
GUUGCGGUUAAAAGCUCGUAGUUGGAUUUCUGUCGAGGAUGGCCGGUCCGCACUUUGUGCGUGCAUCUGGUUCAGCCUUGGCAUCCUCUUGGGGAACGUAUCUGCGCUUAAUUGCGUGGUGCGGAAUUCAAGACUUUUACUUUGAGGAAAUUAGAGUGUUCACGGCAGGCAAUCGCCUUGAAUACAUUAGCAUGGAAUAAUAAUAUAGGACCUUGGUCCCAUUUUGUUGGUUUCUGGAACUAAGGUAAUGAUUAAUAGGGAUAAUUGGGGGCAUUCGUAUUAACGCGUCAGAGGUGGAAUUCUUGGAUUGCGUUACGACGAACUACUGCGAAAGCAUUUGCCAAGGAUGUUUUCAUUGAUCAAGAACGAAAGUUCGGGGA